UAAAUACGGAGUGCAUGUCUAAGAUGUUGGCAAGGUAAAACUAGUCCCACUGAACUGAACAGAAAAGUUCUCCAGUGUGUCGUUGGGCCCUACUUUCAGGCACUAAAAUUCUUCUCUCAGUGUGAAGGAACUGAUGGAAUUAACCUCACCUACAAAACCAUCUGAAUUGAUCUGAGAGUAUAUUUCAGAAGUAGUGUUGGAGUUCUGUAUUGUCAUCUUUGGCAUAUAUGGCGGAACUGCGGAGGAGCUUUGGGUGCCUAGACAUGAAGAUGAAGCCCUGUCUUGGGCAUCUUCACCUUCUGAUGGUACCUGUGAUUGCCCAUUGGAGGACAGUUUCAUGUAUUUGUGUUACAUCAGUGUUGCAAGGUACGAGAUAAAGAGUUGCUGAGCUUUGUCUCUGUCUAGAAGUGUAAGUGGUCCCGCAACCAGGAUUUGUUCUGUUGUACUCUUCUCCUGUUGCUUUCUUUCUGUACAUCCAGACAUAAAAGGACA
Long non-coding RNA from Gymnogyps californianus (California condor), 492 nucleotides. RefSeq lists it as uncharacterized. The record is from RefSeq and is a predicted model, not a curated record. Lineage: Eukaryota; Metazoa; Chordata; Aves; Accipitriformes; Cathartidae. The transcript has 3 exons.